Molecule: ribosomal RNA, 900 nt
Filed under: Vibrio rotiferianus
Lineage: Bacteria; Pseudomonadati; Pseudomonadota; Gammaproteobacteria; Vibrionales; Vibrionaceae
Description: bacterial SSU rRNA
Rfam family: Bacterial small subunit ribosomal RNA
Source: RNAcentral
UCGAGCGGAAACGAGUUAUCUGAACCUUCGGGGGACGAUAACGGCGUCGAGCGGCGGACGGGUGAGUAAUGCCUAGGAAAUUGCCCUGAUGUGGGGGAUAACCAUUGGAAACGAUGGCUAAUACCGCAUAAUGCCUACGGGCCAAAGAGGGGGACCUUCGGGCCUCUCGCGUCAGGAUAUGCCUAGGUGGGAUUAGCUAGUUGGUGAGGUAAUGGCUCACCAAGGCGACGAUCCCUAGCUGGUCUGAGAGGAUGAUCAGCCACACUGGAACUGAGACACGGUCCAGACUCCUACGGGAGGCAGCAGUGGGGAAUAUUGCACAAUGGGCGCAAGCCUGAUGCAGCCAUGCCGCGUGUGUGAAGAAGGCCUUCGGGUUGUAAAGCACUUUCAGUCGUGAGGAAGGUAGUGUAGUUAAUAGCUGCAUUAUUUGACGUUAGCGACAGAAGAAGCACCGGCUAACUCCGUGCCAGCAGCCGCGGUAAUACGGAGGGUGCGAGCGUUAAUCGGAAUUACUGGGCGUAAAGCGCAUGCAGGUGGUUUGUUAAGUCAGAUGUGAAAGCCCGGGGCUCAACCUCGGAAUUGCAUUUGAAACUGGCAGACUAGAGUACUGUAGAGGGGGGUAGAAUUUCAGGUGUAGCGGUGAAAUGCGUAGAGAUCUGAAGGAAUACCGGUGGCGAAGGCGGCCCCCUGGACAGAUACUGACACUCAGAUGCGAAAGCGUGGGGAGCAAACAGGAUUAGAUACCCUGGUAGUCCACGCCGUAAACGAUGUCUACUUGGAGGUUGUGGCCUUGAGCCGUGGCUUUCGGAGCUAACGCGUUAAGUAGACCGCCUGGGGAGUACGGUCGCAAGAUUAAAACUCAAAUGAAUUGACGGGGGCCCGCACAAGCGGUGGAGCAUG